GUAACACGUGGGAAUUUACCAAGAAGUGGGGGAUAGCUCGGCGAAAGCCGAAUUAAUACCGCAUGUGAUCGAAAGAUCAAAGCCGGGGACCGCAAGGCCUGGCGCUUUUUGAGAAGCCCGCGGCCCAUCAGCUAGUUGGCGAGGUAAAAGCUCACCAAGGCUAUGACGGGUAGCUGGUCUGAGAGGACGACCAGCCACACUGGAACUGAGACACGGUCCAGACACCUACGGGUGGCAGCAGUCGAGAAUUUUUCACAAUGGACGAAAGUCUGAUGGAGCGACGCCGCGUGGAGGAUGAAGGUUUUCGGAUUGUAAACUCCUGUCACUGCAGAACAAGGGUACGUUUGUGAACAGCAAGCGUAUUUGAUGGUAUGCGGAGAGGAAGGGACGGCUAACUCUGUGCCAGCAGCCGCGGUAAGACAGAGGUCCCGAGCGUUGUUCGGAUUCAUUGGGCGUAAAGGGUGUGUAGAGGUAGGGUAAGUCAGGUGUGAAAUCUCAGAGCUUAACUCUGAAACUGCGCUUGAUACUGGUCUGUAAGGAUCGGAGGG
This 548-nucleotide ribosomal RNA is filed under the name uncultured bacterium. Its description in RNAcentral is "bacterial SSU rRNA". It matches the Rfam family "Bacterial small subunit ribosomal RNA", at positions 110 to 654 of the family's 1533-position model. The record is from RNAcentral.